UUUUGUGACGGUACCUAGAUAAGAAGCACCGGCUAACUACGUGCCAGCAGCCGCGGUAAUACGUAGGGUGCGAGCGUUGUCCGGAAUUACUGGGCGUAAAGGGCUCGUAGGUGGUUUGUCGCGUCGUCUGUGAAAUUCUGGGGCUUAACUCCGGGCGUGCAGGCGAUACGGGCAUAACUUGAGUGCUGUAGGGGUAACUGGAAUUCCUGGUGUAGCGGUGAAAUGCGCAGAUAUCAGGAGGAACACCGAUGGCGAAGGCAGGUUACUGGGCAGUUACUGACGCUGAGGAGCGAAAGCAUGGGUAGCGAACAGGAUUAGAUACCCUGGUAGUCCAUGCUGUAAACGGUGGGCGCUAGGUGUGAGGGUUUUUCUACGAUUCUCGUGCCGUAGCUAACGCAUUAAGCGCCCCGCCUGGGGAGUACGGCCGCAAGGCUAAAACUCAAAGGAAUUGACGGGGGCCCGCACAAGCGGCGGAGCAUGUGGAUUAAUUCGAUGCAACGCGAAGAACCUUACCUGGGCUUGACAUACAUCAGAUCGCUGCAGAGAUGUAGUUUCCCUUUUGUGGUUGGUGUACAGGUGGUGCAUGGUUGUCGUCAGCUCGUGUCGUGAGAUGUUGGGUUAAGUCCCGCAACGAGCGCAACCCUUGUCUUAUGUUGCCAGCAUUUGGUUGGGGACUCAUGAGAGACUGCCGGGGUUAACUCGGAGGAAGGUGGGGAUGACGUCAAAUCAUCAUGCCCCUUAUGUCCAGGGCUUCACACAUGCUACAAUGGUCGGUACAACGCGUUGCGACACUGUGAGGUGGAGCGAAUCG
This 811-nucleotide ribosomal RNA is filed under the name uncultured Corynebacterium sp. Its description in RNAcentral is "bacterial SSU rRNA". It matches the Rfam family "Bacterial small subunit ribosomal RNA", at positions 465 to 1274 of the family's 1533-position model. Lineage: Bacteria; Bacillati; Actinomycetota; Actinomycetes; Mycobacteriales; Corynebacteriaceae. The record is from RNAcentral.